Molecule: long non-coding RNA, 147 nt
Organism: Maniola jurtina (meadow brown)
Lineage: Eukaryota; Metazoa; Arthropoda; Insecta; Lepidoptera; Nymphalidae
Exons: 3
Source: RefSeq, a predicted model, not a curated record
AGUGGGGUAUCAUAUGAAAGGGCUUUACCUGCGCAUCCUAAAACAGAUUUUUAUUUAUUUUUAUACAUUUUUUUGAUUUAUCGUACAAAAUGUCGAAUAAAAUACCCGAGUACGGGACACUCGGUGUACGAGUCUGACUCGCACUUG